ACAUAUAGCCAUAUUAGCUUGAGGAUGCCAGAAGUCCUCUAAUCUCAGAGGUAAGCAGGGUCAGACAUGGUUAGUAUUUGCAUGGUGACUGCCUGGUAACACCAGGUAAUAUAGACU
Molecule: ribosomal RNA, 117 nt
Filed under: Dasypus novemcinctus (nine-banded armadillo)
Lineage: Eukaryota; Metazoa; Chordata; Mammalia; Cingulata; Dasypodidae
Source: RNAcentral